RNAcentral lists this transfer RNA (71 nucleotides) under Paratemnopteryx couloniana. Its description in RNAcentral is "tRNA-Cys". The record is from RNAcentral. Lineage: Eukaryota; Metazoa; Arthropoda; Insecta; Blattodea; Blattellidae.
AGCCUUAUAUUCAUUUAAUGAUAGUAGAAUGCAAUUCUAUUGGAGUAGUAAUAAUGUUGCUACUAAGGCUU